CGGGUGAGUAAUGUAUAGGAACUUGCCUAGUAGUGGUGGACAACGUGUGGAAACGCACGCUAAUACCGCAUACGCUCUACGGAGGAAAGCGGGGGAUCUUCGGACCUCGUGCUACUAGAUGGGCCUAUAUUGGAUUAGCUAGUUGGUAGGGUAAAGGCCUACCAAGGCGACGAUCCAUAGCUGGUUUGAGAGAAUGAUCAGCCACACUGGGACUGAGACACGGCCCAG
Molecule: ribosomal RNA, 228 nt
Filed under: uncultured bacterium
Lineage: Bacteria
Description: partial 16S ribosomal RNA
Rfam family: Bacterial small subunit ribosomal RNA
Source: RNAcentral